This 284-nucleotide long non-coding RNA is filed under the name Carica papaya (papaya). RNAcentral describes it as "long non-coding RNA (CPAP_LNC006176)". The record is from RNAcentral. Lineage: Eukaryota; Viridiplantae; Streptophyta; Magnoliopsida; Brassicales; Caricaceae.
CACUAGCAAUACCAAGAUUGACUUGUAGGAUAGUACCCUCACCAUGGAUUUUUAUGGGGAAGUGGUAAAAUUUAACAUUUAUGAUGCCAUGAAAUAUCCUGCUAAUAUAUCAUGUAUAUGCAGUGUUGAUAUCAUAGAUUCCUUACAGCAAAAACAUUUUGAUUUAUGUUUUGGGGAUAAAUUGAGUAUUAUCCUCGGCAAUACUUUGAAUAUCAACAUUUUGGAGACCUUAGAGGAAAAUUAUGCGACCAAUAAAAACUUGCAAGAAGCUGUGUUUGAGCUAG